GCGACGGUAGUAUAAUGAUUAAGCACAACAGACUGGAUAUCUGUAGAUUCGAGUUCAAGUUCCGCCUGAUGUU
RNAcentral lists this transfer RNA (73 nucleotides) under Dictyocaulus viviparus (bovine lungworm). It matches the Rfam family "tRNA". Rfam says of the family: Transfer RNA (tRNA) molecules are approximately 80 nucleotides in length. The record is from Rfam by way of RNAcentral. Lineage: Eukaryota; Metazoa; Nematoda; Chromadorea; Rhabditida; Metastrongylidae.